UAACUACACGAUUGGUUACU
RNAcentral lists this non-coding RNA (20 nucleotides) under Arabidopsis thaliana (thale cress). The record is from RNAcentral. Lineage: Eukaryota; Viridiplantae; Streptophyta; Magnoliopsida; Brassicales; Brassicaceae.